This 253-nucleotide ribosomal RNA is filed under the name uncultured bacterium. RNAcentral describes it as "partial 16S ribosomal RNA". It matches the Rfam family "Bacterial small subunit ribosomal RNA", at positions 524 to 776 of the family's 1533-position model. The record is from RNAcentral.
UACGGAGGAUGCAAGCGUUAUCCGGAAUGAUUGGGCGUAAAGCGUCCGCAGGUGGCUAUGUAAGUCUGCUGUUAAAGAGUGAGGCUCAACCUCAUAAGAGCAGUGGAAACUACAUAGCUAGAGUGCGUUCGGGGCAGAGGGAAUUCCUGGUGUAGCGGUGAAAUGCGUAGAUAUCAGGAAGAACACCGGUGGCGAAAGCGCUCUGCUAGGCCGCAACUGACACUGAGGCGCGAAAGCCAGGGGAGCAAACGGG